GAUGAACGCUGGCGGCGUGCCUAAUACAUGCAAGUCGAGCGAAUAGACGAGGAGCUUGCUCCUCUGACGUUAGCGGCGGACGGGUGAGUAACACGUGGAUAACCUACCUAUAAGACUGGGAUAACUUCGGGAAACCGGAGCUAAUACCGGAUAAUAUAUUGAACCGCAUGGUUCAAUAGUGAAAGACGGUUUUGCUGUCACUUAUAGAUGGAUCCGCGCCGCAUUAGCUAGUUGGUAAGGUAACGGCUUACCAAGGCGACGAUGCGUAGCCGACCUGAGAGGGUGAUCGGCCACACUGGAACUGAGACACGGUCCAGACUCCUACGGGAGGCAGCAGUAGGGAAUCUUCCGCAAUGGGCGAAAGCCUGACGGAGCAACGCCGCGUGAGUGAUGAAGGUCUUCGGAUCGUAAAACUCUGUUAUUAGGGAAGAACAAAUGUGUAAGUAACUAUGCACGUCUUGACGGUACCUAAUCAGAAAGCCACGGCUAACUACGUG
Molecule: ribosomal RNA, 497 nt
Filed under: uncultured bacterium
Lineage: Bacteria
Description: partial 16S ribosomal RNA
Rfam family: Bacterial small subunit ribosomal RNA
Source: RNAcentral